This 28-nucleotide small RNA is filed under the name Bombyx mori (domestic silkworm). RNAcentral describes it as "ovarian small RNA-25485". The record is from RNAcentral. Lineage: Eukaryota; Metazoa; Arthropoda; Insecta; Lepidoptera; Bombycidae.
UCACUUCUCCAUCGAAAGGCAGGCCAAA